AUAAGGGGGGAGCAAGCGUUGUUCGGAUUUACUGGGCGUAAAGGGCGCGUAGGCGGCGCAACAAGUCACUUGUGAAAUCUCCGGGCUUAACCCGGAGCGGCCAAGUGAUACUGUCGUGCUAGAGUGCGGAAGGGGCUACUGGAAUUCUCGGUGUAGCGGUGAAGUGCGUAGAUAUCGAGAGGAACCCCUGCGGCGAAGGCGGGUAGCUGGGCCGACACUGACGCUGAGGCGCGAAAGCCAGGGGAGCGAACGGGAUUAGAUACCCCGGUAGUCCUGGCCUUAAACGAUGGAUGCUUGGUGUCCGAGGUUACAUAGUCCUCGGGUGCCGGCGCUAACGCAUUAAGCAUCCCGCCUGGGGAGUACGGUCGCAAGACUGAAACUCAAAUGAAUUGACGGGG
This 398-nucleotide ribosomal RNA is filed under the name uncultured bacterium. RNAcentral describes it as "partial 16S ribosomal RNA". It matches the Rfam family "Bacterial small subunit ribosomal RNA", at positions 523 to 918 of the family's 1533-position model. The record is from RNAcentral.